GCAAACUUGGUCAUUUAGAGGAAGUAAAAGUCGUAACAAGGUUUCCGUAGGUGAACCUGCGGAAGGAUCAUCACAGUGUGUGGUGUCUCUCUACACCAAUCUUGUGUGAACUGUUGUUGUGUGUUGGUGUGUGAUGUGCUACGACACUCCCACCACCACAAAUAUCACCUUCAAUCUUUGUCUAACAUGUACCCACACAAUCUAAAACAACUUUUAACAAUGGAUCUCUUGGCUCUCGCAUCGAUGAAGAACGCAGC
Molecule: unclassified non-coding RNA, 257 nt
Filed under: uncultured fungus
Lineage: Eukaryota; Fungi
Description: partial contains small subunit ribosomal RNA, internal transcribed spacer 1, and 5.8S ribosomal RNA
Rfam family: Eukaryotic small subunit ribosomal RNA (bases 1-73)
Source: RNAcentral